CGCACAUUGCGCCCAUUAGUAUUCUAGUGGGCAUGCCUGUUCGAGCGUCAUUUCAACCCUUAAGCCUAGCUUAGCGUUGGGAGUCUACUGUAAAAGGUAGUUCCCGAAAAACAACGGCGGAUCUACAGUGUCCUCUGAGCGUAGUAAUUCUUUUAUCUCGCUUUUGUCAGGUGCUGUGGCCCUUGCCGCUAAACCCCCAAAUUUUUAAUGGUUGACCUCGGAUCAGGUAGGAAUACCCGCUGAACUUAA
This 249-nucleotide unclassified non-coding RNA is filed under the name Xylariales sp. RNAcentral describes it as "partial contains 5.8S ribosomal RNA, internal transcribed spacer 2, and large subunit ribosomal RNA". Lineage: Eukaryota; Fungi; Ascomycota; Sordariomycetes; Xylariales. The record is from RNAcentral.